RNAcentral lists this ribosomal RNA (460 nucleotides) under uncultured bacterium. RNAcentral's name for it is "partial 16S ribosomal RNA". It matches the Rfam family "Bacterial small subunit ribosomal RNA", at positions 338 to 795 of the family's 1533-position model. The record is from RNAcentral.
CCUACGGGUGACAGCAGUGAGGAAUAUUGGUCAAUGGGCGGAAGCCUGAACCAGCCAAGUCGCGUGAGGGAUUAAGGCCCUGCGGGUCGUAAACCUCUUUUGCCGGGGAGCAGAGUUCCGGACGUGUCCGGGCCGGGAGAGUACCCGGAGAAAAAGCAUCGGCUAACCCCGUGCCAGCAGCCGCGGUAAUACGGGGGUUGCGAGCGUUAUCCGGUUUUAUUGGGUUUAAGGGGUGCGUAGGCGGGCAUUUAAGCCGGCGGUCAAAUGUCGGGGCUCAACCCCGGCCUGCCGUCGAAACUGGGUGCCUUGAGUGGGCGAGAAGUAUGCGGAAUGCGUGGUGUAGCGGUGAAAUGCAUAGAUAUCACGCAGAACCCCGAUUGCGAAGGCAGCAUACCGGCGCCCUACUGACGCUGAGGCACGAAAGUGCGGGUAUCGAACAGGAUUAGAUACCCCGGUAGUC